GAACCCCAUACACGAUGCGGAUGCCUAUUACUUUGUGAUACACUUUCGAAGAGUCGAGUUGUUUGGGAAUGCAGCUCAAAUUGGGUGGUAAAUUCCAUCUAAAGCUAAAUAUUGGCGAGAGACCGAUAGCGAACAAGUACCGUGAGGGAAAGAUGAAAAGCACUUUGGAAAGAGAGUUAACAGUACGUGAAAUUGUUGGAAGGGAAACACAUGCAGCCAGACUUGCUAUUCGGGGCAACUCGAUUGGCAGGCCCGCAUCAGUUUUUCGGGGCGGAAAAGCAUAGAGAGAAGGUAGCAAUUUCGGUUGUGUUAUAGCUUUUUAUUGGAUUCGCCCUGGGGGACUGAGGAACGCAGCGUGCUUUUAGCAUAAGCUUCGGCUUAUCCACGCUUAGGAUGCGGGUGUAAUGGCUGUAUAUGACCCGUCUUGAGCACG
RNAcentral lists this ribosomal RNA (433 nucleotides) under Sporobolomyces roseus. RNAcentral's name for it is "eukaryotic LSU rRNA". It matches the Rfam family "Eukaryotic large subunit ribosomal RNA", at positions 216 to 663 of the family's 3401-position model. The record is from RNAcentral. Lineage: Eukaryota; Fungi; Basidiomycota; Microbotryomycetes; Sporidiobolales; Sporidiobolaceae.